GAACUCAACCACAAUCACAAGAUGCUGGAAAGCCUCGGGAUGCUUUUGCACAUGCGAUCGCACAAAAGAGAUGAUCCUUUGAUUGACCAGUCGGUGAAAGACAUGCAGCUGGACAACCACACACAUGUUCAGAUGAUGUCAAUGCUGUCGCGUAUGUCCGGUGGUCUGCAAUACAUGGGACAUACUAGCCACGACUGGGUAAACAAGAAACAGAAGUUUGCCAGAGAAGAGUCCCAAUAUGACGUCAAGAAACUUCUGGAUUUCUUCGAGAAGAUGUAGAAGAUAAACCCAGAGUUCUUCUUUGAUUAUGACGUUGAUGUAGAUAACCGUGUAAGAAACGUCUUUUGGGCCAACGCAAGCUGCAAAGGAUCCUAUGAAGAUUUAGGAGACUGCGUUACAUUUGACACGACAUAUAAAACUAACAAAUUCCACAUGCCGCUGGGAGUCUUCGUGGGAGUGCACCAUCAUCUACAGAGCACCAUAUUUGUCGUUGCCCUCGUGCAAGAUGAAACAAUACCAUCGUUCGAGUGGGACCAGUGUUCUUUGAUGAAGGCAGCAUCAAAAAUUAUCCUCCCAGAUACACUACAUAAGUUGUGUCAGUGGCAUAUCAUGAAGAAGUACAAAGACCACCUCGCCUUGCUGUAUAAGGCGCACGAGAAACUCAAGGAUGACCUCAAUGCGGUGCUGAACAACCCACUAAUGCCGUCAGACUUUGAACGGGCAUGGAAGGACCUCAUCCAGAAAUACAACUUGCAAAACAACGAAGUGAUGAAUUCAUUGUGGGAUGACAGGCACGAGUGGAUCUCGGCUUACUACAAGGAAAUUUUCUAUGCUCGGAUGACUUCCACGCAGAGAAGCAAGACAUUGAACCGCAUAUUGAAGAAAAACUUUGUCAAAGAGAAGGAUGAUCUCCAUCUAUUUGCUCAGCAGGUGGACAAGUGCAUUUAUCCCAGGAAGGCCGUCGAGCACGCAGAGAUAGUAGCAAAUGAGUCAGAGGUAAAGACAACAACCCAGUUUGGGUUCGAAGUUCAGCUAUCAAAAGUGUAUACAAGGGCAGUUUUUGCAUAUUUCAAAGAAACACUCUACCGCAGCACUGCAUUCAGAGCAGAACGGUGCCCUGAGAACCUGACAAAGUACCUCGUACACCACUACAACAAAUUGGAUGCAUUUGACUAGGCAAGGCAUAAUUUCCAAGUGGUCGCCAAUGAAGAGAAAGGUGUCUACGAAUGUGAGUGCAAACUCUGGACACACACAGAUGCGACUCGCUAG
Molecule: ribosomal RNA, 1269 nt
Filed under: Triticum aestivum (bread wheat)
Lineage: Eukaryota; Viridiplantae; Streptophyta; Magnoliopsida; Poales; Poaceae
Description: partial small subunit ribosomal RNA
Source: RNAcentral